CUUCAUCGAGUUCACUCCUCCUCCCAGAACUCGAUAAGGAAUACGGCACUCCUCCUCCCAAGCCGUAUUCAAGAUCAGGCCGCGCAUCCUCCUCCCGCGCGGCCUUUUUC
Molecule: small RNA, 110 nt
Rfam family: Alphaproteobacterial ar14
About the family: Smr14C2 was renamed NfeR1 (Nodule Formation Efficiency RNA) highly expressed in salt stress and during the symbiotic interaction on legume roots.
Source: Rfam